AUCGCUUGGAAGCUAACAUGUCUGCUGGCGGCAGACGCCGUGCUGGCGACGCUCAGGAACAAAGCACCCAAGAUGAAAUUCGCCACAGCGGCUGCAUCUGAGUUUGGUUCAGGCAGGCCUUUAUGUGCUAGAUCGGAGAUCGCGAGAGAGCUGCAAUCAGGGAAGUGUCACGGAUGCAGGUGAUAUGUGCGUCCCCCACCGCCACCACCGUAACCGCCACCACCAAAGCAAAGGCCGCUUUUGAGUUCCUUUUGCCCCAGACAGACGGCUUCCACACUGCGAUAACACAGCUGACGAGAUGCUGUACGCUGGACGUCUUGAUCAACAGAAAACUGCUGCUAAGACCAGAAAUACUGGGGAUUGAUCAGACAAUCAUAACACACCUGGCAAUGAAUGAAAGUAGAACAUUAGAUUUGUUGUCUCUCCAAAUAUAAAAAAACGAAAGCAAUGCAACGGUAUAAUUCUGUAACAUGAUGACAUCCAUAUAUUUGAACGGUGAAAUUCACCUUUUGUUGUUCUUUAUUUAUUGUCUUUUUUGUAUUAUGUUUUAAAAUGCAAUAGGCCUGCAUUGCAAAAGUCAAUACAACAUAUCAAAAUCAUAUUUUCUUAUUUCUUUUUUAUUAAAUUGGUUGA
Gadus chalcogrammus (walleye pollock) is the source of this 633-nucleotide long non-coding RNA. RefSeq lists it as uncharacterized. The record is from RefSeq and is a predicted model, not a curated record. NCBI's taxonomy places the organism in Eukaryota, Metazoa, Chordata, Actinopteri, Gadiformes, Gadidae. The transcript has 4 exons.